This 1356-nucleotide ribosomal RNA is filed under the name Monocellicampa pruni. RNAcentral's name for it is "16S ribosomal RNA". The stretch from base 649 to 1356 matches the Rfam family "Archaeal large subunit ribosomal RNA", at positions 1423 to 2911 of the family's 2987-position model. The record is from RNAcentral. Lineage: Eukaryota; Metazoa; Arthropoda; Insecta; Hymenoptera; Tenthredinidae.
AAUUUAAUAAUUAUUAGGUUUGAGUAUUUAUGUUUAUUUUUAUUAAUUAAAAUAAUAUAAUAAUUUAAUAGUUUAAGUAUUUUUUAAAGAAAAAAUUUUAUAAAUUAUAGUUAAGUUGUAUUGUGAAAGAAUUUUGAAAAAAUUGAAAAUUAUAUUUUUAAAAAGUAAAUUUUAUUAUUUGUACCUUGUGCAUCAGGGUUUAUUAAUUAAAAAUUAUUAAUUAUAUUUUUCUCGAAAUUAAAAGAGCUAUAUAGUUAUUAUUUUUAUUGUAGUAUAAAUAUUUUAAAUAAUUAUAUUGAAAUGAAAUGUUAUUCGUUUUUAAUGAUAUCUAGUUUUUUAAUAAAUGAAUUUAAUUCAGAUAUUAAAUGAUAUAUAUAUAUAUAUAUAAAUUUUUAUUAAAAAUUUAAUAUUUUAAUAUUAAUAUUUUAAGGGAUAAGCUUUAAAAUUUAAAUUUAUAAAAUUAAAUAAAUAUUUUUAAAAUUUAUAGUCUUAUAGAUAGAUUUUAUUUAAAAAAUGUUAUAAUUUAAUUUAUUAUAAAUAUGAUUUUAUAUAUUUUUAAUUAUUUAUUAAAAUAUUUUAAUUAAUAAAAUUAAUAAAUUUAAUAAUGAUAUAAUUAGUAAAUAUAUAAUUUUUGUUAAUUUAUUUAAUUUAAAAUGGAAGGUUAAAUUAAGGAAUUCGGCAAAAUUAAUUUAUUUAUACUCGCCUGUUUAACAAAAACAUGUCUUUUUGAAUUUAAUUUAAAGUCUAAUCUGCUCAAUGAAAAUUUUAAAUAGCCGCAGUAUUUUGACUGUGCAAAGGUAGCAUAAUAAUUUGUCUUUUAAUUGGAGGCUGGAAUGAAUGAUUGGACGAGGUAUAAACUGUCUUUAUUUAAUUAGAUAUUGAAUUUAAUUUUUAAGUUAAAAAGCUUAAAUUUUUUUAAAGGACGAGAAGACCCUAUAGAGUUUGAUAUUUUAUAUAAUAUUAAGAAUUAAUUCUUUAUUUAAUAUUAUAUGAGAUAUUUUAUUGGGGCGAUAGAAAAAUUUAAUAAACUUUUUUAUUAAAAUUUUACAUUUAUUUAUGAUUUAUUGAUCCUAAUAUUUAGAUUAAUAGUUAAAAUUACCUUAGGGAUAACAGCGUUAUUUUUUUUAGAGUUCUUAUUGAUAAGAAAGAUUGCGACCUCGAUGUUGGAUUAAAAUUAAAUUUAGGUGUAGAAGCUUAAAGAUUAAGUCUGUUCGACUUUUAAAAUUUUACAUGAUCUGAGUUCAAACCGGCGUGAGCCAGGUUGGUUUCUAUCCUUAAAUAAAAGUAAAGUUUUUAGUACGAAAGGACCAGAAUUUUGAAAAAUUUUUUAAAGAUUGAAUUAUAUUAAUUAUUAUA